AGAACGAACGCUGGCGGCAUGCCUAACACAUGCAAGUCGAACGCUCUUGGGGUUUCGGCCUCAAGGGAGUGGCGCACGGGUGAGUAGCGCGUGGGAACCUGCCCUGUUGUGGGGGAUAACCGAGGGAAACUUCGGCUAAUACCGCAUGCGCCCCGGAGCAAUCCGGGGGAAAGAUUUAUCGCAGCAGGAGGGGCCCGCGUCGGAUUAGCUAGUUGGUGGGGUAACGGCCCACAAGGCUGUGAUCCGUAGCUGGUCUGAGAGGAUGAUCAGCCACACUGGGACUGAGACACGGCCCAGACUCCUACGGGAGGCAGCAGUGGGGAAUAUUGGACAAUGGGCGCAAGCCUGAUCCAGCAAUGCCGCGUGAGUGAUGAAGGCCUUAGGGUUGUAAAGCUCUUUCGCCCGCGACGAUGAUGACGGUAGCGGGAGAAGAAGCCCCGGCUAACGUUCGCGCCAGCAGCCGCGGUAA
This 469-nucleotide ribosomal RNA is filed under the name uncultured bacterium. RNAcentral describes it as "SSU rRNA". It matches the Rfam family "Bacterial small subunit ribosomal RNA", at positions 26 to 523 of the family's 1533-position model. The record is from RNAcentral.